Molecule: long non-coding RNA, 728 nt
Organism: Mesocricetus auratus (golden hamster)
Lineage: Eukaryota; Metazoa; Chordata; Mammalia; Rodentia; Cricetidae
Exons: 3
Source: RefSeq, a predicted model, not a curated record
AACUGCAGGAGGACUCAGAAAUGUCGCCCUUUGGGGCGUGUAAAGAUAGGAAUUCACACGGUGUGCUCUGCAGCGUUUCUCCUCUGUGAAAAUACAAACCAGUGGGAGGCAAGAGAACCUGUCUUCAUCAGCGACUGGAACAUUCAGCUCCAAGCCAGGUUACCUGGACUCUCAAAUCUUGCAGCAGUUGUGCACAAAUGCGUGAAAGAUGGCUACAGCUUUAAACUAGCUGAAAAUCUGAGAAUGCAACCUUCAGCCCGCUACCUUCAAAAAUGUUACAGCCAUUGACUGAGUGGAAUGAGGCCCAGCUGUAGUGGUUUUCUCACUGCUAGGUCUAGCAGGGGAAAUGGAGCUAUAAACCGAGGCCUCUCUUGAGGCGUGGAGGGAAGAAACUGUCUGGGUCCUUGCUUGACACCUGGACCUCACUGUGGUGCUAAGUGAAACUCAACAACUCAGGUGGCCAAAAGAAGCAGAUGUUUAGCACAGCUAAGUGUAAAGAGUUGGGGAAAUGACUUUAUAGACCUUUGGCUGAGAUGCUCACAUUUGAAUGUCAUACACAGGAAGUCAUCAGGUAGUGCAAUAAUAUAAACAGACCUUACCUCAUGAAGUGAUUUAUUUUGGAAUGGUGGCAGCAACAACAGCCUCAAGCACAAAAGAACAUAAGGACUUACUUUUUUUUUAAUUUGAGAGAUUUCCCAACCAGUCAGGGCUGUCUGUAAUGAAAAAGU